UGAGGAAUAUUGGUCAAUGGGUGCAAGCCUGAACCAGCCAUCCCGCGUGAAGGACGACUGCCCUAUGGGUUGUAAACUUCUUUUGUAUAGGGAUAAACCUACCCUCGUGAGGGUAGCUGAAGGUACUAUACGAAUAAGCACCGGCCAACUCCGUGCCAGCAGCCGCGGUAAUACGGAGGGUGCAAGCGUUAUCCGGAUUUAUUGGGUUUAAAGGGUCCGUAGGCGGACUUAUAAGUCAGUGGUGAAAGCCUGUCGCUUAACGAUAGAACUGCCAUUGAUACUGUAAGUCUUGAGUAUAUUUGAGGUAGCUGGAAUAAGUAGUGUAGCGGUGAAAUGCAUAGAUAUUACUUAGAACACCAAUUGCGAAGGCAGGUUACCAAGAUAUAACUGACGCUGAGGGACGAAAGCGUGGGGAGCGAACA
Molecule: ribosomal RNA, 422 nt
Filed under: uncultured bacterium
Lineage: Bacteria
Description: bacterial SSU rRNA
Rfam family: Bacterial small subunit ribosomal RNA
Source: RNAcentral